UACGUAGGGUGCAAGCGUUGUCCGGAAUUAUUGGGCGUAAAGAGCUCGUAGGCGGUUUGUCGCGUCUGCUGUGAAAACUCAGGGCUUAACCCUGAGCCUGCAGUGGGUACGGGCAGACUAGAGUGUGGUAGGGGAGAUCGGAAUUCCUGGUGUAGCGGUGGAAUGCGCAGAUAUCAGGAGGAACACCGGUGGCGAAGGCGGAUCUCUGGGCCAUAACUGACGCUGAGGCGCGAAGGCCAGGGGAGCAAACGGG
This 253-nucleotide ribosomal RNA is filed under the name uncultured bacterium. RNAcentral describes it as "partial 16S ribosomal RNA". It matches the Rfam family "Bacterial small subunit ribosomal RNA", at positions 524 to 776 of the family's 1533-position model. The record is from RNAcentral.